Molecule: ribosomal RNA, 464 nt
Filed under: uncultured bacterium
Lineage: Bacteria
Description: partial 16S ribosomal RNA
Rfam family: Bacterial small subunit ribosomal RNA
Source: RNAcentral
GAUGAACGCUGGCGGCGUGCUUAACACAUGCAAGUCGAACGGAAAGGCUCCUGCUUGCAGGGGUACUCGAGUGGCGAACGGGUGAGUAACACGUGGGUGAUCUGCCCUGCACUUCGGGAUAAGCCUGGGAAACUGGGUCUAAUACCGGAUAGGACGCUGGUUUGGAUGCCAUUGUGGAAAGUUUUUCGGUGUGGGAUGAGCUCGCGGCCUAUCAGCUUGUUGGUGGGGUAAUGGCCUACCAAGGCGUCGACGGGUAGCCGGCCUGAGAGGGUGUACGGCCACAUGGGGACUGAGAUACGGCCCAGACUCCUACGGGAGGCAGCAGUGGGGAAUAUUGCACAAUGUGCGCGAGCCUGAUGCAGCGACGCCGCGUGGGGGAUGACGGCCUUCGGGUGGUAAACUCCUUUCGCUAGGGACGAAGCGCAAGGGACGGUACCUGGAGAAGAAGCACCGGCUAACUACGU